RNA transcript from Erigeron canadensis, 1544 nucleotides. RefSeq lists it as uncharacterized. The transcript is spliced from 5 exons. Lineage: Eukaryota; Viridiplantae; Streptophyta; Magnoliopsida; Asterales; Asteraceae. The record is from RefSeq and is a predicted model, not a curated record.
ACAUAAUCAUCGGAAAACACCAUUCCAUAAUCUUCAGCCGCCAUGGAAUCAGACGAACCAACCACCACAAUAUGCACAGUGGUCGCCAUUGAUCACACAAAUCUGCAUUACACAGUGUGUUCCUUGUGUGAAAAAACUAUACAUGAAUCCGUUUGCAAGCAUUGCACAUUUAGUAGAAAUAGUGCCACUGCCGCUCCUUCUCCUAAACGUCUGUUUCGUGUUCUUAUGUCGAUAGCAACCGAUACAAAUGUGUUUGUUGUAGUGUUUUUUGAUAGGGCUGCUAAGGUUUUGUUUGGUUGUUCUGCUCAAGAUUUCUUUGAGUUUUCCAAGAUUCAUCCUUUUUCAGGUGAGACUGCAAGUAAGAUUCUGGAGGGAGAGAUGUUGCGGGUGACACUUUCGAAACCAAAAAAUGGUAAUGCACAACAUCAAAGAGUUGUAUCAGUUGUUCCUUUGAAAACCGGUUUUCGUCCUGUGAUAGAGACAUUGCGUGAACUAUAUCGAAAUAGUUGAGGAAGGAUCUUGUAGCUGGGAUUUAGCAGAUGAAAAGGAACAGUGACUUGUAAGGACAUGGAGAACAAGACCUCUUUCUUUCUUUCAGGUGAACAAGCUCCUGUAUAAAACAAUUCUUCCAUCUAUGGACUACAGUGUGUGUAAUAUUAAUACUCGUAUAUCACAAGCCAGAUGAGCAAGGUCACUAAACGAUGCACCCGAUUCACCAAGAACUGGAAGCCUUAACAUCGAGUUUUGGGAUCAAAUUUAGUUCCUUAAUGAGUUCAACUCCGAUGUAACAUACAAGAAUGGAAACUGACUAACAAAGACGAGAACAAUGUAAAACGCCGACUGAUGCUACUGUGAGCCUGCAAAACAAUCAAAGAGGCGGAACCACAUCAUUCUGAAGCGAAGUAAGUUUCCCUGUGAUCCACAGCUCCAACAUCCUUAGUGCAACCCUGGGUUGAUCCAUAGGAACCAUGUGUCCAGCAUUCUGAACCUUGAUGAAAGUGAGUGGCCCAUGGUUCUUUAAAAUGCCAGCUUCUUUUCCGUCAACUAAGUACGAAACAUUUGAAGCUGCAACAAAUUCUUUCUGACCCGACCAAGCCAUGGCGUGCACCCAUCUCCAGUUCCCUGCAAACCACUCAUUGGUUUUCAGUAAAAAGGCAUAAUGGUUGAAAUCUAAUUUUCUAGGAUGGAAGAAAUCACAUACCGAGCCAGUUGCAAAUAAGAUCAAAUUCUCCUGUGUAUAUGAGCAGUUGAAUAUUCUGUUCCAGAAGGUCCGGAAUCCCGAGUGCCAGAUUUCUCAUCCAAUCAUUGAUCAUUGCAUCCUGCACUCUGUUAUUACACGAAACAAAACGUAUAUUGCUGGGUACCCCUAAUGCUUUUUUAACUGAUACUUCUUCUAGAAAUUUUUCCACUUGUGAAAAGUCAUAGCAGUAGCGCCCCUCACAUUUCUUCCUUAUAUCGUAAUACUGCCAUUGGAAAAAAAUCAUGAAUAAUACUGCAAUAAACUUUUUGUAUCUGGUAAGUUUGUAUAUAAAGAGUUUUUUACA